Macaca mulatta (Rhesus monkey) is the source of this 1358-nucleotide non-coding RNA. NCBI's taxonomy places the organism in Eukaryota, Metazoa, Chordata, Mammalia, Primates, Cercopithecidae. The record is from RefSeq and is a predicted model, not a curated record.
CGAGUGUGUGUGUGUGCGUGUGUGUGUGUGGAGGGAGGGGAGAGUCGCGCUUCACAUCAAACGUCCCCUGUGGCCAUGGCAACAGCUUUGGGAGAGGGGGUGCCAGUCCUCAGGCCAGCAGCGGGCAGCCUGCCACUCCUGCCGGGGUCCAGCGCUCCGCUGGGGUAAGGUCCGGCAUUGGUGCUGAAUCCAGUUGCGCCCGGACCAGAAGAGGGCCAUUUUCUAUUCUUCUACCACCCCACCCGGGCAGGUUAGACCCGGUUCACCUGACCGCUCACAGACGUGUUCUCACUCACACUCGACCGACGCAUGCUGGAGCAGAGCACACCCAGGCAGCACCCACGCAGGACCCACCCACCUGCCCGGUUCCUCGCCUGCAUACACGACAAACUGAGGCUUCAAAGCAGCCGUGAGAGCUUCAGAAAAUGACAAACCCACCACGGAUCCAUAAAGAGGAAAGUGUGGCCAAGAGCAGUGACUCACGCCUGUAAUCCAGGCACUUUGAGAGGUAAAGGUGGGAAGAUCACUUGAGUCCAGGAGUUUGAGACCAGCCUAGGCCCAGCCCUGGACGGACACACAAGCAUCUGUGCUGCCCACCAUCCAGCCAACACAGGCAGCAGGAUAUUUCCUUCUAGUCAGACUGGUGCUGUGCCAGAAGCCACACAGCUGAUAAGUGGUGGAUCCAUCUUGAAUUUGACUUCUAGACACUCCCUUUCAUAAGACAGUGGGAGUUUAAUCAUGGAUAACAAUUAUUCUUUGGAUUAGAACUUAAUUGGAGGACAGAUUGGCAGCUCAGCUAACCUUACUGCCAUCACCAUUAGACAAAUAAAGAUAAAUCUGUACACUACCAGUUUCCUCAAUAUUCUCAUGCAUUCAUUUCUUGGAAUUGACAAACCAUGGACCAGAUGUCAAAAGAUUCUGUGAGGGUCAGGCAUCUUGGAGACGUUACUGAGUUUUUAGAUGGGUUGACAUUUUAAAAUGAAGCUUUUCUGGAAAGGAGAUUGGAUUACAGGUGCUAAGAAACUUGCUUGCUAUAGAUGGCUAAGGAGGCACCUGUCUUGUGCCAACAACCAGACACCUCAAAUGUGGAAUUAGAGAACAGUGCAGUGAAUGAAGUCAUCACACUCACUUCCCACACGUUGGGCAUUCUAAGGAACUUUGGAUCUCUCAUCUUUCAUCCCAAUUGUGUCGCAAAUAUUUCUAAACAUUUGCCAGAUUACCAAGAGAGCUUUAAAAUUUAAUUUCAAGGACUAACCAAGCACCUGAUGGAUUUUGUCGUAUCUGAAGACCAGAGAAGGCUGUUCUUUAAAAAGAAAACAUAAUUUUGGCAAUAGUGACACCAGUUCAGAAAGAAGUUC